AUGCUGUGCUCUGGAACCUGCCCACUCACAUCUAUCUAAGGAAAGCAUAGAGAACUGUUAGAUGAUCUUGCAGUAGAGUAGAUGCUGCAUAUGGGCUUUAUUUAGAAUUUCAUGUGCAGGAGUUCAUCCUGGCCACAUCUAAGGGCAUAAACAACCAGUGGAAAAAAACUUUGCAGUUCAAACCUCACCUCUUAUAGAAAGCCUUUUCUAAAAGCCCUAGACUGGCCUAUAUGCCCUUUCUCUGGACUCCAUAGCACACUCUCUCUUGUUUUUAGGCUUGUACUGAUCGUGUUGCCUUAUGUUUACUUUUCUAUGCCUUUCCAGGGAGUGUAUGAGCUCCUUCUUUAGAAACAGACUAUUCUUAUUUUUCAUGGUGCUGAACAUAUAGAAGGUACAGGAUAAAUACUUGCUAAUGUUCUUGUGAUGUGAAAAGAUACCACUGUGCUCCACCUGCUUAGUGGUGUAAAAAAUAGCUAUGGCUAUGAUGAUUGCCGUGAUUUAGAAAGCACAUUGUUUUCUAAACAUCAGUGUUUCUAAAAUUCGGAUUUGUUAACCACUGAGCCACAAAGGGAACUCCCGGAAGGUGUUCAAUGAUGGUAUCAGAAACCAUUGUGGGGGGACAUGGCCAUGCACAGGGUGCUGGAGCCGGAGCAGAGUGAAGAGGACAUCCACAUGCUGGAAUCAACAGUUCUUAGGUCAAACCAGGGAGCACUAGGCCCCCUGUAGGCCCUUCCUUACCAGGUAGGUCGCCUAAUUCCUAGCCCUGUGCAAUACAGCACAAGGUAUGUAGUCUAACUGGAGUGGGGAUGGUGUCCUCAGGGGCAGCUCAGGGAGGUGUGUCAGAGCCCAGGCAGGGAAAAGAGGCCAUGUGCAAGGGGACAGAGUGGGCAAUAGUGAUGCAAGACUGUUGACAUUCCUGGGGCUUAAACAAAUAAGUGGACAGAUUGAAGAUAAUGUGAGCCAUGCUUGUUGCUUUUUGAAAAGGAAGUUACAAGUAUGGAAAGAGAGAAAACUGAAAUGAACCUGUGGCACAGAACUGAACUGAAGAUAGCAGCAUGAUCUUAUGAUGUCCAGUGAAUGCGUAGAUAUAAAUGUAGGUGUCAUCGUGAGUUUGUAUGUGGUGUGUCUCUAUCUUAAUCUUUAUCUUUGUACCUAUUUAUUCUCUUGUUCUAUUCAUCAAGGGACCAAAGGCAGCAACAAACUCAAUAUAAGUGAACACACUGAACACACCUAUCAAGAC
Molecule: long non-coding RNA, 1240 nt
Filed under: Sus scrofa (pig)
Lineage: Eukaryota; Metazoa; Chordata; Mammalia; Artiodactyla; Suidae
Description: lncRNA (ENSSSCG00045024186.1)
Source: RNAcentral